RNAcentral lists this ribosomal RNA (633 nucleotides) under Thysanophora penicillioides. Its description in RNAcentral is "eukaryotic LSU rRNA". It matches the Rfam family "Eukaryotic large subunit ribosomal RNA", at positions 1 to 649 of the family's 3401-position model. Lineage: Eukaryota; Fungi; Ascomycota; Eurotiomycetes; Eurotiales; Aspergillaceae. The record is from RNAcentral.
UGACCUCGGAUCAGGUAGGGAUACCCGCUGAACUUAAGCAUAUCAAUAAGCGGAGGAAAAGAAACCAACAGGGAUUGCCUCAGUAACGGCGAGUGAAGCGGCAAGAGCUCAAAUUUGAAAGCUGGGCCUUUCAGGUCCCGCAUUGUAAUUUGCAGAGGAUGCUUCGGGAGUGGUCCCCAUCUAAGUGCUCUGGAACGGGCCGUCAUAGAGGGUGAGAAUCCCGUAUGGGAUGGGGUGUCCACGCCCGUGUGAAGCUCCUUCGACGAGUCGAGUUGUUUGGGAAUGCAGCUCUAAAUGGGUGGUAAAUUUCAUCUAAAGCUAAAUAUUGACCGGAGACCGAUAGCGCACAAGUAGAGUGAUCGAAAGAUGAAAAGCACUUUGAAAAGAGAGUUAAAAAGCACGUGAAAUUGUUGAAAGGGAAGCGCUUGCGACCAGACUCGCCUCUAGGGUUCAGCGCGCACUCGUGCGCGUGUACUUCCCUUGGGGCGGGCCAGCGUCGGUUUGGGCGGUCGGUAAAAGGCCCUCGGAAUGUAACGCCUCUCGGGGCGUCUUAUAGCCGGGGGUGCCAUGCGACCAGCCCAGACCGAGGAACGCGCUUCGGCUCGGACGCUGGCAUAAUGGUCGUAAACGACC